Molecule: ribosomal RNA, 421 nt
Filed under: uncultured bacterium
Lineage: Bacteria
Description: bacterial SSU rRNA
Rfam family: Bacterial small subunit ribosomal RNA
Source: RNAcentral
UGAGGAAUAUUGGUCAAUGGGCGAGAGCCUGAACCAGCCAAGUCGCGUGAGGGAAGACGGUCCUAUGGAUUGUAAACCUCUUUUGCCGGGGAGCAAAAAGCGGUACGUGUACCGCAUCGAGAGUACCCGGAGAAAAAGCAUCGGCUAACUCCGUGCCAGCAGCCGCGGUAAUACGGAGGAUGCGAGCGUUAUCCGGAUUUAUUGGGUUUAAAGGGUGCGCAGGCGGCGAGUUAAGUCAGCGGUAAAAUUUCGGGGCUCAACCCCGACAAGCCGUUGAAACUGGCUUGCUAGAGUGGGCGAGAAGUAUGCGGAAUGCGUGGUGUAGCGGUGAAAUGCAUAGAUAUCACGCAGAACUCCGAUUGCGAAGGCAGCAUACCGGCGCCCAACUGACGCUCAGGCACGAAAGCGUGGGUAUCGAACA